GGGGAAGAGGGUCCAGGCUGCCUUGUGCUUGGGCUGCGGGGGAGGCAAGGCCCCAGGUGUCAAGAGCUUAGGUUGAUGCGCAUGCGGAGAUCAACCCACUGAUCCUGGCCUGGAGCAAUGGGCCUGCGCCUCAGCCCGCUUUAUGUGGAGGUGGUGGGCACAGAGCCGCCGGGAGAUGGGGGUGAGGGGCGGCCACCCCAUGAUGACAGUAUCAGGACCCAAAAGGCACUCAACCAAGUGAACUCGGACUGAGGUCCAAAAGACAAGUGCAGCAGGGCCAGAGACUAAGUCCCCCCGUUAGGCCAACAUUUAGGAAAUAUUGCCUAAUGUUGAGCGUCUGCUGUUCAGGGUCAGACAGAGCUCUGCUUAGCUUUCACAUCUGCCGGCUGUGUGACCUUGGAAAGGUUAUUUAACUUUUCGGAACCCCAGUUUCCUCAUAGGCAAAAUGGAGGUAGUUUUUAUUUCAUGGUGGGAUUGAAAGGAUCGAGCUGUUAUCAUUCUUGUUAUUAUUUUAUUUAAAAGACUGAACGGAUCCAGGAAGGGAAGAUUGCCUUGACAGGAAUUCACAUCAUAAAGGCCCCAAAUUAGUGUGAGGGCCUGGUAUGGAGGUGAAAUCGGUGACACUCAGAGACGAAGGCAGGGACCCCUGGAGCCCUCAUCGGUUCACCCAAAACAGCUCAGUUCCAUCUCAACAGCUCAGUGACUGGUGGGUGAAGAGUAUGAGCUUGAGUGGAUGGAGCAGAGUCUAUAUGUCGAGCACCUACUGUGUGCCAGAUGCUUCAAUACAUUGCCUUAAUCGUCACACCCUUGUGCACGAGCUAUGACAGUCUCCGUUUUGCAGGUCACGCUGCCUCCUAAGACACAGGACAGGGCCUCUCAUGGCUUUUGAGGACACGAUAGUAGCUGUGAGGGCACAGAGGGACUUCCCAUCUGGCCGAACAACAGCCACGAAAUGUGCAUAUGAGUGGAACCAGUUGUGUUUGGAGCUGGGGCUGUACAAGGAGGAGGAGGAUGAGAAGAAAGAAGAUGGAGGAGCGGACAUCCUGCCUGGCGAGAUAACACAAGAUGCUGACCACUGGCCUUGGAUUGUCUGCCCAUAAAAUGAUGGAGUUGAACCCAAGGAUCCCCAACGUAGGGUCCCAGGAAGAGAGAAGGUGACAGCAGGAUCUAAAAAGCCUUCUUAGCGUCAGAAUCAUGAAAUGUUAGUGCGAAAAGGAAUCAUCGUCUGAACCACCUUCCUUUAUGUCUUAAAGGGACCUCUCAGGAGGGUACCGUCCUUCAGAAACCGGUGAGCGUGGCUCCCCACAUCACCUCUGGCUCAGGGAACAUGGAGCUGUGGAGAGAAGGCGGACUUCAGACAGUUGUAAAGAGAUGGAUUUCAGCCGGAGUGCCUCUCUGUGCGGCCUCAUUUGUUAAGUGGGUUUAAUAAAACCUCUCUGACAGGCA
Molecule: long non-coding RNA, 1446 nt
Organism: Myotis myotis
Lineage: Eukaryota; Metazoa; Chordata; Mammalia; Chiroptera; Vespertilionidae
Exons: 5
Source: RefSeq, a predicted model, not a curated record